This 305-nucleotide ribosomal RNA is filed under the name uncultured bacterium. RNAcentral's name for it is "bacterial SSU rRNA". It matches the Rfam family "Bacterial small subunit ribosomal RNA", at positions 334 to 654 of the family's 1533-position model. The record is from RNAcentral.
CCUUCCUACGGGGCGCAGCAGUGGGGAAUAUUGGGCAAUGGAGGCAACUCUUACCCAGCAAUGCCGCGUGAAUGAAGAAGGUCUUCGGAUUGUAAAGUUCUUUAAUUGGGGACGAAAAAAAUGACGGCACCCAAGGAAUAAGCCCCGGCUAACUACGUGCCAGCAGCCGCGGUAACACGUAGGGGGCGAGCGUUAUCCGGAAUCAUUGGGCGUAAAGGGUGCGUAGGCGGCCUUUUAAGCGCGGGGUCUAAGGCGGUGGCCCAACCACCGUUCGCCCCGCGAACUGGAGGGCUAGAGUGUCGGAG